RNAcentral lists this ribosomal RNA (450 nucleotides) under uncultured bacterium. RNAcentral describes it as "partial 16S ribosomal RNA". It matches the Rfam family "Bacterial small subunit ribosomal RNA", at positions 338 to 795 of the family's 1533-position model. The record is from RNAcentral.
CCUACGGGGGGCAGCAGUGGGGAAUUUUGGACAAUGGGCGCAAGCCUGAUCCAGCCAUGCCGCGUGAGUGAAGAAGGCCUUCGGGUUGUAAAGCUCUUUCGGCCGGAACGAAAUCGUCCGGGCUAAUACCUCGGAUGGAUGACGGUACUGGAAGAAGAAGCACCGGCUAACUACGUGCCAGCAGCCGCGGUAAUACGUAGGGUGCGGACGUUAAGCGGAAUUACUGGGCGUAAAGCGUGCACUGGCGUGUGAAAUCCCCGGGCUUAACCUGGGAACUGCGGUUGAAACUGGGAGGCUGGAGUGCGGCAGAGGGGGGUGGAAUUCCACGUGUAGCAGUGAAAUGCGUAGAUAUGUGGAGGAACACCGAUGGCGAAGGCAGCCCCCUGGGCCUGCACUGACGCUCAUGCACGAAAGCGUGGGGAGCAAACAGGAUUAGAUACCCUUGUAGUC